Molecule: small nucleolar RNA, 86 nt
Organism: Phyllostomus discolor (pale spear-nosed bat)
Lineage: Eukaryota; Metazoa; Chordata; Mammalia; Chiroptera; Phyllostomidae
Product: small nucleolar RNA SNORD35
Exons: 1
Source: RefSeq, a predicted model, not a curated record
AGCAGAUGAUGGCUUUUCCUCAUGAUGGUCUGUGGAAGCCACUGUGGGCAGUGCCAAUGAUGCCAAUGGCUUAGCUAUGCUCAGAG